Molecule: long non-coding RNA, 931 nt
Organism: Homo sapiens (human)
Lineage: Eukaryota; Metazoa; Chordata; Mammalia; Primates; Hominidae
Exons: 3
Source: RefSeq, a predicted model, not a curated record
ACCGCAUGUGGGGAGGGCCAUGUGGGAAUUCUCACACCUGUUGCCUAGAUGCCUGUGUCUGGUUAGAACCACUGCAUGCUUUCUUUCAGUCUACAUUGAAUACGUCUUUGCUGCUCUGGGAUCCAUCCUCCAGUCUUCAGUCAGCUAAGAAAAUGACCUGUGGGCACGUUGGCUUCCUUUCUUCGGAUUAAGUGGUUGUUCAGAGAGAGGCUGAGUCUGAUUGUUUACACAAGAAGGAAGUGAACACUGGCUGUGUGCCUGGCACUGUUAGGAGCCAUCAAACCAUGUCCAGAAAGGACGCAGGGAAAGGAGAUGUCGAUGUUUCCAGACAUUUUGUGAUGUGAAGAGAGCGCCUGAAGGUUUUUGAUGAUGCUUAACUCACGUGCUUUGCUUAAAGAACUGCAGGGACUGACCUGAAACGCUAAGCAUGGAAUCCAGGUUGCAGAACAUCCCACUCUGGAAAGAAGGCUGAGCCGUUCAUCUGUAUUCCUGUUGCAAUCAAGCUAAUGCCAGCCAGACCACCAGGUGGCCCAUUAUUCAAGACAGUCAUUGAGACUAGACAGACUGACCAGCAUGUAUUCAGCUCUUGUACAUAAUUCCCCCAGACUCCCCCUCGCAUAACACCCCUGGCCAGCCUGAGAAAUUCGAGAUGGUCUUUGUGACACUAGCCCACCAUCUCCUCAGGUUGCCAGCUCCUCAUAAACCUACUUCUCCUCCGACCAACUCUUGUGUCUCCAGUUUGGCUCUCAAGGAGCGAGCAGCCGAACCUAGGUUCAGUGACAUUUCUAAAUGCUAUGACAUACAGGCUGUAAGCACUCACAAGGCAAGCAACAUGAACUCAAUUCCCUGAGUCAUGGGAAAUGACGGGCUCCUAUGACUACCUUUGUUUAAAGUGAAAAGGAAAUACAGGUAAACUUAGAGUGCCCAGAAU